UUUUUUUUUUAAUUUCUUUUUUUUUUAUGAUAGUCAUACAGAGAGAGAGAGAGAGAGAGAGAGAGGCAGAGACACAGGCAGAGGGAGAAGCAGGCUCCAUGCACCGGGAGCCCGACGUGGGAUUCGAUCCCGGGUCUCCAGGAUCGCGCCCUGGGCCAAAGGCAGGCGCCAAACCGCUGCGCCACCCAGGGAUCCCCGUACAGCUUUCUUAAUAACAUCUCAGACAUUCAAAAUACAAAUAGCAUUUUUCACAGAAUUAGAAGAAAUAAUAAAUAAAUGUGUAUGGAACUAUAAAAAGCUUCAAGUAGCCAAAGUGGUCUUGAAAAAGAAAAGCACACUGGAGGUAUCACAAUCCCAGAUUUUAAGACGUACUACAAAGCUGUAGUAAUCAAAACACUAUGGUACUGGACAAAAAGUGAUGCAUGAGUCAAUGGAACAGAAUAGAGAGCCCAAAAAUAAACUCAUGCUUAUAUGGCCAAUUAACCUACAACAAAGAAGGGAAGAAUAUACAAUGGGGGAAAGAUAGUCUCUCAAACCAUAUGCAAAAAUAAAUCCAAAAUGGAUUAAAACCUAAACGUAAGACCUGAAAUCAUAAAAUUCCUAUAAAACAAUGGAGGCAGUAAUUCCUUUGACCUUGGAAUUAGCAAUGUUUUUCUAGCUAUGUCUCCUGAGGCAUGGGAAACAAAAGCAAACAUAGACUAUUGGGACUAGACCAAAAUAAAAAGCUUCUUCACAGCAAAGGAAACAAUCAACAAAAAAAAAGGCAACCUACUGAAUGUUAGAAUAUAUUUCCACACUUGAUCUUAGCCAAAAGGCUGAGAAGCAAUUAGAAUAUACUUCCAAAUGAUAUGUCCAAUAAAGGGUUAAUAUGUAAAAUAUAUAUUAAAAAACUUAUACAACUCAACAUGAAAAAAACAAACAAUCCAAUUUAAAAAAUGGGCAGAAGAUAUGAACAGACAUUUCUCCAAAGAAGACAUACAGAUAGCCAGCAAGCACAUGAAAAAAGAUGUCAAUAUCACUAAUCAUCAAAGAAAUGCAAAUCAAAACUACAAUGAGACAUCACCUUAUACCUGUAUAAGGUACCCACCUAUACAAUGGGUAGGUUCAAAAAGACGAGAAAUAACAAGUAUUGGUAAGGAUGUGGAGAAAAAGGAAGCAUGUCCUGUUAAGAAUUAACACUAGUGCAGCCACUGUGCAAAAUAAUAUGAAAGUUCCUCACAAGAGUAAAAAUAGAAAUACUAUAUGAUCCAGUAAUUCCACUACUAUGUAUUUACCCAAAGAAACAAAAGCACUAUACUUUGAAAGAUAUAUGCGCUCUAUGUUUACUGCAACAUUAUUUACAAUAGCAAGAUAUGGAAGAUAGGUGAAUGGAUAAAGGUGUGGCAUAUAUACACAAUGGAUUAUUACUCAACCAUUAAAAAGGUGAGAUUUUGGUGUUUGUGACAAUAAUAAGUCAAACAGAGAAAGACAAAUGCCAUAUGACUUCAAUUACAUGUGGAACCUAAAAAAUAAAAAAAAUGAAUAAACAAACAAAAAGCAGAAACAGAUCCAUAAAUAUAGAGAAUAAAUGGAUGGUUUCCAGAGGGGAAGGGCUAGAGGGAUGGGCAAGAUGCAUGAAAGAGAGUGAGGGAUACAGGCUUAUAGUUAUGGAAUGAGUAUGUCACAGGGACAGUCAGAGGGAUAGUCAAUCGUAUUGCACUGUACUAUGGCAUACAGUAGCUAUACUACAGUGACAAAUGAUACACUUAGAGAGAAGAUGAAUCACUAAAGUUAUGUCAUACAUCUAAAAUUAAUGUUAAUGUUUAUGUUAAUUUAAAUUAAAAUUAAGUUAAUUUAAAUUAAUGUUAUGUUUAUGUUAAUUAAUGUUAAUCUUAAUUUAACAUUGUGUAUCAACUACACCUCAAAUAAAAAAAAAAAAACUCACCCUAUUUGGAAGACCUUAGGCCCAGUAGUAAUUGGAUCAAGUUGUAUUUUUUUUAAAUGCAUAUUUAAAUAAAUCUUGUGUUCCUGGGAUCCCUGGUGGCUCAGCAGUUGAGCAUCUGCCUUUGGCUCAGGGCAUGAUCCUGGAGUCCCAGGAUUGAGUCCCACAUCAGGCUCCCUGCAUGGAGCCUGCUUCUUCCUCUGCCUCUGUCUCUGCCUCUGUGUGUGAGUGUGUGUGUCUCUCAUGAAUAAAUAAAUAGAAACUUAAAAAAAAUCUUGUGUUCUAAAGUUAAAUAAUUAAUUAAAAUAAAAAAUGAAGAGCAUCUGUUCUCAGGUUGACACAAGAAAUAGAAUUUCUUGUAAAGUUAUGAGAAAAUCCACAGAAAGAUGAUUAUAUUUCAAGGCAUCUUAGCUUUUUAGUUUUAGAUAGAUAUAUAAGUAUAUAUAUAGAUAUAGAAGUAUUGGGCAUUUAUAGUCUCCUGUACAUUCAUUUAAUUUAAUAAACAAUAUUGAAGAAUAGGAAAAAAUAAAAUCUCAGAUGCUAAAACUGUGCUAUACCCAAUUAGAUGGAAAAAUAUCAAAAAUAGAAAUCUUCUAGCUUCAUUCAUUAGUCAAUUAUUGUUAGAUUUAACAAAAAUAUCUACAUUGCCACAGUUUAAGAUCAUUUUACAAAAAAAGAUCAUUUUAACAUAAUUUUUCUUUGUUAAAUUAAUUAAAAGAACACAUUAUUUUACUGUUUAUUAUAUGAUAAACGUGGUGUUCAGAGACUCAACAUUUAACACAUUAGGAUCCUUCAAAAGCUACAAUUACAUUAUAUAACACACAUAGAAGAAAACAAAAUUCAAUGAAAAUCUGGGUUCCAAUGUUUCUGUUCCUUGAGAUUUUUUUAAGAUUUCUACAAGCUCCUAAACUCAAUCAAAAUAAUUAGUAAAACUCAGUGUAAAAAUAAUUUAAGUAUUUUUAAAAUGAUUAUUCUUUGUAUAUUUAGCACAGAGAUGUAAUUACAAUAGUAAUGGACUCAGUGUUAGAAAACCUGGAAUCAGAUCCUACCUCCAACUAUUACACAGAAAUUUAAUUAGACUAAAGCUAAAUUUACCUGUAUGGAAAAUGAGUCUAAUGAUAUCGGCCAUACCGCCUUUAGAACAUUUCUAGAGAACAAAUAAACUGCUUCUCUGGAACCAUUAUGUGAACUGCCAAAUGAUAAAUAUAAAUUAUUUUAUUAUCAUGUUUAUUAAUAAUAUAACAAAAUAUUUAUGUUAAUAUACACUCUGGCACUUAUACACUUCAAAUGCUAGCUUACUCCUGUAACUUUUCAGUGCCUGGAAACACAGAUCAUAGAAAUUAUUUUCUUAAUUACUGUAAUAUACUAGUAACCCCCUCCUCAAAAUUAUAGAGUAGACCUGUUUUUCUUUUUGUUUUUUAAUUUUUUAAUUUUUAUUUUUUAUUUAUGAUAGUCACAGAGAGAGAGAGAGAGGCAGAGACACAGGCAGAGGGAGAAGCAGGCCCCAUGCACCGGGAGCCUGACGUGGGAUUCGAUCCCGGGUCUCCAGGAUCACGCCCUGGGCCAAAGGCAGGCGCCAAACCACUGCGCCACCCAGGGAUCCCUAGACCUGUUUUAAGUAAAUAUUCUACUUUGGCACAGUAAAUGAGUAUUUAUAAUACUUUAAUUACUUAUAUGUCUCCUUUUCCUAUGUUAUCACUCAGAAUUUCAGAUAACCAAUAUACUUUUUAAAUGAAAUAAUAUGCAAUUUUUACAUUUAUCAGUGCAGUGUUCUUCUGCUGGGCCAGUUUACUGAAAAUCAUAAGGUAGAAGAUGAAGAAAAGUGUAGUCAUGGAUCUACCAUGAAGUAUGAUAGAUUUUAAAAUAUUUGUUAUUUGGAGAGAGAGCAUUUCAAACUGAAAAAACUAACAAUAAAAGGGUAGAAGUAAAUCAAAUCCUCCCUCAAGUUUUCCAGGAUUCACAUAAAGCUAUGCUUAAAAAAAAAAAAAAAAAAAA
RNAcentral lists this long non-coding RNA (3916 nucleotides) under Canis lupus familiaris (dog). RNAcentral describes it as "lncRNA (ENSCAFG00000051029.1, ENSCAFG00845018112.1)". The record is from RNAcentral. Lineage: Eukaryota; Metazoa; Chordata; Mammalia; Carnivora; Canidae.